AGUUUGGCCUGCCCAAUGAUGAUUUAAAUGGCUGCAGUAUCCUGACUGUACAAAGGUAGCGUAAUAAUUUGUCUUAUAAUUGAAGGAUGGAAUGAAUGGUUUGACAAAGGUGUGGCUGUCUCUUACAUAUUUGUUUGAAGUUAAUUUUCAGGUUAAAAAGCUUGGAUGAAAUUAAAGGACGAGAAGACCCUAUUGAGCUUAAAUUGAUAAUAGCGUUAAAUAAAAUAUAAGUUUAAAAUUUAUUAUGGAAUUAUAUAGUUUUAGUUGGGGCGACUAAGGAGUAGGUGAAGCUUCCUUUAAUAAUUUGGAAGGUUGUUUAUUGAUCCAUUUGUUUUGAAUUAAGAUCAAGCUACCAUAGGGAUAACAGCGUUAUCUUUUUUGAGAGUUCUUAUCGAUAAAAAGGAUUGCGACCUCGAUGUUGGAUUAAGAUUUAAUAAGGGUUGUAGAAGCUUUUAUGGUUAGUCUGUUCGA
RNAcentral lists this ribosomal RNA (471 nucleotides) under Hungerfordia sp. T. Its description in RNAcentral is "partial 16S ribosomal RNA". It matches the Rfam family "Bacterial large subunit ribosomal RNA", at positions 1851 to 2584 of the family's 2925-position model. The record is from RNAcentral. Lineage: Eukaryota; Metazoa; Mollusca; Gastropoda; Architaenioglossa; Diplommatinidae.